This 4034-nucleotide long non-coding RNA is filed under the name Cucumis sativus (cucumber). RNAcentral describes it as "long non-coding RNA (CSAT_LNC000430)". The record is from RNAcentral. Lineage: Eukaryota; Viridiplantae; Streptophyta; Magnoliopsida; Cucurbitales; Cucurbitaceae.
UUCAAUAAAUUGUAUAUAUCAAUGAACCAUACAUAUAGUUGGUCAUUACAUACUUAAUUACAAUAGCCCAAAUUUCUAACAAUAACCCAAACUUUCCAUUUAUGUCUAAUUUAAACAAAAUAUACGUGCAGCCCAAAAGUGUACCAUAUCAACAAAAUAUACAUGUCUAAGCUACAAUAUGAACAUUUUCUUGUUGCAAAAUUCUUGCAUAUUUCUCAAACGAUUGAGCCCUUCCAUUUGUAGGUUUCCAACCUCUCCUUUAGCUCUUUUAUUUCAUGCCUCAAAGAAUAUACUUUCACAUCAUAACUUCCAAUUUUUUACUCGACAACCUGCAGAAGAAACAUUUAUUUUAUAAGAAUGAUAUUCUUUCAUCAUUAAGAUAGAAAGUGAUAUCCACGUCCUGUGAUAUGACAACACGUAAAAGUUAAAAAUGUUGGAAAUCACCUUGGAACAUGUAGGAAUGUACCGUGAUCAUUUUAUUUUUUUUAUUUUUUUUAUUGAGGUUCUAAAAUAUAAAAUUUGAAUAUGAUCACCCUAACACUUCAAUACUAUAUAAGAUAGAUAUUUAAUUGAAUGACUGAAACAAAAGGUUAUAUAAACAAAAUUAUCUAGCAAAAACUACACUUUUUAGUUAUUUACAUUACUUAAAAAAUAUAACAAAUCAAUCGAAUAUUUAUAAUGUAUAGAACAAUUUAAAAAACGAAAAAAACCCACAGAUCUUCAAUGAAAAAUACAAAAAAUACUCCAAUCAACAUGCGCGAUUAAUUAGCUACCCGCACGAGUAAUACAUUUGGUACACGAUCUUAUACCAAAAUCUAAAUGAUUGUGUACCAAAAUAUAAAUAAUCGUAUACGAAUAUCAACAAUUUUUUUCCAAGAUCAUGUACGAAAUAUAAAAGAUCAAUAUUUGGUACACGAUCUUGUAGAUUCUUUUAUAUUUGGUACACGAUCAUUUAGAUUUGGCAACACGAUCGUAUACCAAAUCUAAACGAUCAUGUACCAAUAUCUAACGUUUUUUUAAAGAUAUUUUAUAUUUGGUACACGAUUUUGUACCAAUAUCAACGGUUUUUGUUCAAGAUCGUGUACCAAGAUCUUUUAUAUUUAGUACACGAUCUCGAACCAAAUAACACUCUAAAAAAACAAUACAAGAUUUAUGAUUAAUUGAAAAUAAAAAUUAUGAUUUCAAAAAAUAUUAAAACAAAUUGUAAAAGAAGAAAAGAAGAAAGAAGAUGGAAAGAAAGGAAAAAUCUAUAAAAUUUUAAAAAAUAAAGGUCUUCAUUGACUUUUUGAUUUUGUUAGAUGAACCGUAUAUAUUUUGAUGUUUCGUUACGUUUAAUAAAAAAUAAGCUUAGAUAAUACUAUAUAUAAAUACUCGUAUUUAAUAAAUAAAUUUUCUAAUUGUGAGUAACAAGUCUACACUUCAACCACAUAAUUUUAUGUUAUAAAUAAAUGUAUAGUUUAAAAUGUAAAAUGCUAGCUGAAACUUCUUAACAAUAAUUAUAGGUUUUUUCUUAGAACCCUAUAACUUACAAAGUCAAUCGAAAUAUUUAAUUUCCAAAUAGAAUAAGAAUCAUGCACCGACCUUCUAUAUAGGCCUAAUGAUUUCCAUCUUUAGUGCAUUGAAUGAUAAAUAUUUAAUUAUUCCAAUUUACAUCCUACUUUAUGUUAAUUAAUAUAAAGUUUCAUAGCAUAUAUAAUUUGAUUAAUUAAAGAAAUAAUUACUUAUUUAAUUGUAAAUUAAUGAUCCACAGUUUAUUACAACUGGUGGGCUAUUACAAUUAGUUUUGAAAAGGAAGAAGGCUUAGUUUAUUUAUAGCCAAUGAUCAUGAGGCGUGUUCUUAACAAGAACAAAAAACUAGAAAAAUGUAUUAUAAUUGCUUCUAAUUACGGCUUCAAAAUAUUCUAUUUCUUAGCUUAAUUUAUAGACAAGUCAAUUUCGAAUUGAUUCAUUCCCAUGUUUUAUUAUCAACUUUUAUAUGAUACUUCUAACUUUUUUAUGAUUUCAUUAUCAAUAAUUAUUAAUAAAGUUCUUGGUAGAUGAGUUUAUUAAUUAGUUAGAUUAAAUUAGCAUUACAACAAAAUAUUUCUUUAUAGUCAAGAGAAGAGGUAUGUCAAACAAACUUCAACUAUCAUCUUAUUAUUUCAAACAAAAGUUCUUCCUUCUUUUUUAUUGAAUUGAAUUAGUAGAGAUUUAAAUCAACCAAUAAAAAUAUAAUGGAAAGAAACUUAAAUCCACGAAUAGAUAUUUGAUUUUAGGUUUUUGAAAACGAAACUUAUUAGCACAAUUUCUAAUUUAUGUUUCGUUAUCGAUUUUCGAACAAAUGACUUCUUUUAUUAAGAAUGUGAAAAUUACAAAGGGGAGGAAAUAAUAAGAACUUAAAAACUAAUUAAAAGGCAUGUUCUAAUUAAUGUAAUAAAUUCAAUAUAAAAGGAAAAGAAAAAAAAGGCUAGCUUUCAUUUUAUAUUUGGAGUACAUAGCAUUUGAAUUGAUUAAUAUCACACUUUAAUCAAAACAAUAGACGUGGGUGCAAUUUCCAAUUCAUUUUAAUUGCUAGUUUAUUCAUUAGUCAGAAGAACUAUAACUUUUUGAAAUCUCUUUUGACCUUACUUUAACUACUUUUCUCUAAAUUAUGUGAAUAAUUUAAUAAAAUAUAUAUAUAUUUUUUAUCACUUUAUCCCUUGUUCUUUGCAUCAAAAUAAUCAACUUUUUGUUCUUCUUUGAUAUAAAACAAUAAUAUCCUUACAAACGUUUAAUUAAAGAUUAAAAAGAAAACCCCAAGGAUUGGAAGUUUAAAAUACUUUUAAGUAUGUGUUUUUGUACUAUUUUUUUGUUUUUUUUGUUUUUUGGUAUCGAGAAUGAUUGUCACCACACAUUGUUGAUAAUAGAAAUAUUAACAAGGAUAGGAAUAGAACAUAUGUUAAAGAUAUAUGAAUUAUAUAUUUCGUUAAUAUUAAACUUAGUCAAACUAUCCAUUCUUUGUCUUUCAAUUAUGUUAAAAAUGAAUUAAGGAGAAUUGGUCGGACAAAUUUCGUCGCCUAAAUUCACACACCAAAUACUUCAUUCUAAUCUACCACAAGCAUAGUAACAAACAAAGUUGAACAUGGAAAGCAUGUGUAAUUUCACAGGUAACAAUUCAAGGUAAGCAAGAGGAAGGGGUUUGUAAUAGUUCUGGUGCAAUGGAACAAAACUGUACGAAAUUGGAUUUGAUUAUUUUAAAGAGUCUAACUUGUGUUAAUCGGAUUACGUAUAUAAUGUAUUUGAUCAUACAAUACUUUUAUCUUUAAAGAGUAGUGAUUGCUACCCAUACCUAAUUCAAUUAGAAAAACUAAUUGAUUUUUCUAAUUAAUUAAUUAGUUAGAAAAAUCAGUUACCUUUUCUAUUUGAUUUUUUCUAACCAAUUAAAUGAAAAGCAUUGAAACUCAAUUUUUGUGUAAAUUGCAUUAAAUUCUUGAGCAAAUCAAGGUGAUUAUCUAAAUUUCAAGUACCCAAUUAAAUAUUCACAUGGUUCAAAAUUCUAUGUUGAAUAGAACAACCCUCAUUUAAAUUAAAAGUGCCAUGCAAACUAUCCUACCCUUAUUGCUUCUUUUGACCCACAUACAACAUAACAACUAUUACAAGUGUACAUCAAUCAAGAGCAUAGAUCAUAGAGCCCAAAAGUUUUCAACAAUAUGAUAAUCCUUCCGUUAAACAAAAUUUGAGUGUACACAUGCAAGAUAACCUAAUACGAAAUUCACGAAUAGUACAUUAAAAUAUGGAAAAUAAUCCUAAGAAUCCAAGGUAGAAAGUUAUACCUUACCCCAUCUUGAACAUUUCGGAUGAUGGAGAGAAGAAAAUGGGCAUAUAAUUAAUGGAGAGAAGAAAAUGGACAUAUAAUUAAUAGAACUAAAAAUAUGGAAAACUAGAGAGAAAGUAGGCUUUGGUUGGCUGGAUAAGGUGGUCACUCUAACCUAGGCGAUUGAAGCACAUAUUUAUAACUUUCUGAUGACGCCACAGUGCUAUGCAGAACACUUGUGCAAUCAAAAUCUAAAGUAAAC